GACAGCGGAAAUAAGAAACCAAAGGGAAAAAACAAUAUACCCAAAAUAUUUAUCUGGACUCUUUAACCAUUUUAAAUCCUAUUAUAGAACCCAGGUAUGUAGUCCACCUGUCAUCGCCUCUCUUUAAAUUUAAGGGCCACACUUUUGACUGCUUUCUCACACUGCAAUAUAGUAACAGGACAAAAAUGUUAUUACCACCUUUUGAAGAAACUUAAUAGACUGCCAAAUGUUACAUGGUCGGUAUUAAUUACCAUGCAAGUAUGGAAAGAUUGACGGUGAAGUGCUUAAAUUUGGAAGUAUUGCUUUAGUACAAUGUGCAAAGUGAGAUGCAUAUUAACCAAUAUCACCAUGCACAAUAAUUGUAAUGUCAAUCUAAUGUUCUCAUAAUAAAAUAUGAUAAACUUCGACGUAGAAUCUGCAGAAAUUUUAAGGCCAAGUUCUUACCAAUAAUCAAACACAACCCGUUAAAGUGCAAACUAUUGAAAUCAUCUGUACCAAGGUUGCAAAUGGUGCAACUUCUUUAAUAUUGAGUAAGAAUGCUGUCAGAUAUAGUUAACCAUUUGUACGCAUACUCCUUUAUUGGAUAAUGCAUUAACACUAUAACGGAAAGAGAUGUUAAAACACUGAUAAUCUCAAGCAGGUAAAAAAUAGCAUUGAUUAUAGCAAUAUGUAUAGCGUUAACAUCAUCAAGGUAGUACCUGAGUUAAAUCAUAUUAUGAUGCGCCACCAAUAGAAUUGGUCUGGAGAAUUUAGUCUCUGGUGGGGACUCAUGGAGAAUCCAUCCAAUAGAAUAAGUAGGCACAACAAAUAUAACAUAGUAAUCUAUCGAGACUUCCACCACAGUAAGUUUUAUUUAAAAAACAAAUAUGUCAGAAUAAUUUGGUAGAGGGAGCUAUAAUAGUAGGUCAUAAGAUACAUAUACGUACCUUCUGAGUUGAGAGGCAAAAUAUCCAUCAUUUUAAGCUGGCAGGAAUAACUCCAUUAAUUCCCUACAGUUACAGGCAGAACUUUGGGGUUCAGUAAAACACCAUAAACUGUCUUGUACCGGCCAUUUGAGGAUCCAUUUAGUUUCUAGCUCUCCUCUCUCUCCCUGGUUCAUAAAGCAAAUAUCAAACACACAUGGAUUUCUGUGAAGAUUAUAUUGCUACAGCAUUUUCUACAUACAACUAAAACUAUUCGACACUCAGGAUAUAACUAAUAGUUAUUUUGAGAUGCAUAAUACAUAAGUUCAGUUCGCAGGACAUGUAGGCCAGUGUGAUUACGCCUUUCCCUAGCUUGGCUUCUCGAUGGAGUGUCCUUGUACAGCAGCUCGAAUCGCAGGCAGAGGCUGAGCAAACAACAUCUUACACAAAACAAUGCAGUGGAAAAGCAAGUUAGUUUCUCCCCAUAUAGCAGCGAACGCCAAACUCUUGAGAUGUUGCCCGCAGAAAAAGAACACUUUGGAGAUACGCCUCAUCGUUGUCGGGAUCGGGAGAGGUCAUUAUUGGCUAAAUUAUCGGCAUGAUCGAUCUAGAAUUUCAGCAAGGGUCGCGAGAUGUAGUGCACUUGAGGAUGGGAAGAUCAGUUCUACUCAUGCCGAGGUUUUGUGAGAUUCAGAUCAGUAGGGAUUGAAAUAGGUGCCCGUCUCUUUACCUAUUACGGAGUAGGUAUUAGAUUUAACAGACCGUCGAUUUUGAUUACCUAGAUUCCACGUAAUAAAAAUAGAAUAUGUCUGCCUCCUUCAACGAUGGAUUUCAAAGGGGAAAUAUGUCAAAAGCAGUAACGUGGAUUCAUGGAAUCUACGUGAACUUAUGGAACAUGGAAUAGGCCAUCAAGAAAAGAAUAUGAUGGCGGCAGAGAGGGAUUAGUUGGUGGAUCACCUGAAUCAUCCCAUGACGAUCAAGCAUGAUCGACAUGCCAAAGGAUCGAAGCGUUUAUACCAUCAAGAAAAGACGGACGGAGAUCCACGCCAAUCUUGCUUUUUAAUCUUGAUUGAUCUUGUGAGAUAGAAGAGGCAUGCAGAAUAACUCAUAGGUGGGUAGUAUAGAGUUUUAGAGACACGUGAGAGAGAUGCAUGGCAGAUUUUUACCUUAGAGAUAUGUGAGAGAUUGGAGAGAGAAAGAUACUUUCCCUUGGGUCAGAUUCACG
This 2127-nucleotide long non-coding RNA is filed under the name Hordeum vulgare. RNAcentral describes it as "long non-coding RNA (HVUL_LNC015003)". The record is from RNAcentral. Lineage: Eukaryota; Viridiplantae; Streptophyta; Magnoliopsida; Poales; Poaceae.